This 481-nucleotide ribosomal RNA is filed under the name uncultured bacterium. RNAcentral's name for it is "partial 16S ribosomal RNA". It matches the Rfam family "Bacterial small subunit ribosomal RNA", at positions 28 to 507 of the family's 1533-position model. The record is from RNAcentral.
GACGAACGCUGGCGGCGUGCUUAACACAUGCAAGUCGAACGCCGACGCUCAGCUUGCUGGGGGGGUGAGUUGCGAACGGGUGAGUAACACGGGAGUAACCUGCCCCCUUCUUUGGGGUAACGCCCGGACACGGGGGCUAAUACUCGAUAUUCACUUAUCUUCGCAUGGGGGUUGGUGGAAAGGUUUUUUCUGGUGGGGGAUGGGCUCGCGUGUUAUCAGCUUGUGGGUGUGGUGAUGGACUAACAAUGCUUUGACGGGCAGCCGGCAUGAGAGGGUGAGCGAUAAGAGUGGGACUGAGAUACGGCCAAGACUACUGCGGGAGGCAGUAGUGGAGAAUAUUGAACAAUGGGCGAAAGGAUGAUGCAGCGACGCGGGGAGAGGGAUGGAGGUCUUCGGGUUGUAAACCUCUUACGCUGAUGGUAAAGCCGGAACAUUGGUUGUGGUGAGGGUAGUGGGUAAAGAAGCGCCGGCUAACUACGUG